UCCGCGAUAGCUCAGUCGGUAGAGCGCCUCCCUGUUAAGGAGGAUGUCCCAGGUUCGAGCCCUGGUCGCGGAGCCA
RNAcentral lists this transfer RNA (76 nucleotides) under bacterium. RNAcentral describes it as "tRNA-Asn". It matches the Rfam family "tRNA". Rfam says of the family: Transfer RNA (tRNA) molecules are approximately 80 nucleotides in length. Their secondary structure includes four short double-helical elements and three loops (D, anti-codon, and T loops). Further hydrogen bonds mediate the characteristic L-shaped molecular structure. tRNAs have two regions of fundamental functional importance: the anti-codon, which is responsible for specific mRNA codon recognition, and the 3' end, to which the tRNAs corresponding amino acid is attached (by aminoacyl-tRNA synthetases). tRNAs cope with the degeneracy of the genetic code in two manners: having more than one tRNA (with a specific anti-codon) for a particular amino acid; and 'wobble' base-pairing, i.e. permitting non-standard base-pairing at the 3rd anti-codon position. The record is from RNAcentral. RNAcentral also lists the same sequence under 5 other names.